This 379-nucleotide ribosomal RNA is filed under the name uncultured bacterium. RNAcentral describes it as "bacterial SSU rRNA". It matches the Rfam family "Bacterial small subunit ribosomal RNA", at positions 29 to 433 of the family's 1533-position model. The record is from RNAcentral.
AACGAACGCUGGCGGCAGGCUUAACACAUGCAAGUCGAACGGGUGCAGCAAUGCAUCAGUGGCAGACGGGUGAGUAACACGUGGGAACCUUCCUAGGGGUACGGAACAACUCAGGGAAACUUGAGCUAAUACCGUAUACGUCCGUAAGGAGAAAGAUUCAUCGCCCCUAGACGGGCCCGCGUCGGAUUAGGUAGUUGGUGGGGUAACGGCCUACCAAGCCUGCGAUCCGUAGCUGAUCUGAGAGGACGACCAGCCACACUGGGACUGAGACACGGCCCAGACUCCUACGGGAGGCAGCAGUGGGGAAUAUUGGACAAUGGGCGCAAGCCUGAUCCAGCGAUGCCGCGUGUGUGAAGAAGGCCUGCGGGUUGUAAAGCAC